CUCAUCGAAGGAUACUAAGGAAACAAGAGGAAAGGAUAGGAGGGUGGCUCUGUGUAGUUUGUCCAUCAGAGCACGAGGCUGCGUCGGGGUGAGCGUACCGGGGAGACUUUGCUAAAAGCUUCUGACUCCACAGAAACCUGCUACCUGGGAUUGUUCUUCUUAUUCCCCUGCUAGCAUUGCUGACUACGCAGGCUGGGCACCUCCUCUUCAGCUGGGUCGGAGUGCUCUCUGAAGCGUUUUAAAGAGCAGUUCAGUGGACACGAGAUUGCUCUCAGAGGUGCUGCCAAUCCACCAGCAGAAACACAGCUCGCCUCUCUCUGCUCCCUUCUCCCAAGUAUCUACACCAUGCUAAGUCCGGUCCCAGGAGCAAGGAGAAUCAAAGUCCUAGGGCUUGAACCCAGGGACUCAUGAAUGCUAGCACAUCGACAAAUGGAAACACUGAGAUCCUACAAGUAGUUUUCAGGACAGAAUGGCUGCGGGACCGGGCAGAACAGAAAUCUCUGUCAACAUGCUGGGAUAUCAAAUGAGGACACCAUGACCAGAUCAUUUAUUGAAGAUGAAAAUUUUAUUGAGUUUCACAAGAUUCUUAACCUUAUGUAAGGUUGGAAUGAAUAUUGACAGAAUAAACAUAGACUUGGAGGAAGAUAGAACGUGUAUGGAACUAUGCUGUAAUAACAACUAUCAAAACCACCAAGAAAGAGAUAAUUUAUUCUGUUCUUGGUAUUUGCUGUGGCGUGAGGCAGGAUCUGAUUCAAGCCAUACACAAAGGAAAAAUUACUUUUCGAAAUUAUUAAAUCUUCUGUGAAGGUUAUAACAGAGGACUUAGGCUCAGUUUAGCCAUUUAUUAAGAUAUAGGCUACAAAGCCCGGUGGAAGAAAAUAAACAAACAACGAGCAGUUUACUCGGAUUUAUGCACAGUCGGACUAAUCAAUCAAUCUGUAAACACUAUGCAAAUGUGUGUAAACGCGAACGGAGCCCGGACUUUACGUAUGCAUUGUUAUGUAAACGAUCAAUCUUGUUAAAGUAAAUAUUAAUAUAAAACUGAC
Myodes glareolus (Bank vole) is the source of this 1046-nucleotide long non-coding RNA. RefSeq lists it as uncharacterized. Lineage: Eukaryota; Metazoa; Chordata; Mammalia; Rodentia; Cricetidae. The record is from RefSeq and is a predicted model, not a curated record.